GAUGAACGCUGGCGGCGUGCCUAAUACAUGCAAGUCGAGCGAACGGACGAGAAGCUUGCUUUUCUGAUGUUAGCGGCGGACGGGUGAGUAACACGUGGAUAACCUACCUAUAAGACUGGGAUAACCUCGGGAAACCGGAGCUAAUACCGGAUAAUAUUUUGAACCGCAUGGUUCAAAAGUGAAAGACGGUCUUGCUGUCACUUAUAGAUGGAUCCGCGCUGCAUUAGCUAGUUGGUAAGGUAACGGCUUACCAAGGCAACGAUGCAUAGCCGACCUGAGAGGGUGAUCGGCCACACUGGAACUGAGACACGGUACAGACUCCUACGGGAGGCAGCAGUAGGGAAUCUUCCGCAAUGGGCGAAAGCCUGACGGAGCAACGCCGCGUGAGUGAUGAAGGUCUUCGGAUCGUAAAACUCUGUUAUUAGGGAAGAACAUAUGUGUAAGUAACUGUGCACAUCUUGACGGUACCUAAUCAGAAAGCCACGGCUAACUACGUG
This 497-nucleotide ribosomal RNA is filed under the name uncultured bacterium. RNAcentral describes it as "partial 16S ribosomal RNA". It matches the Rfam family "Bacterial small subunit ribosomal RNA", at positions 28 to 507 of the family's 1533-position model. The record is from RNAcentral.